RNAcentral lists this ribosomal RNA (465 nucleotides) under uncultured bacterium. RNAcentral describes it as "partial 16S ribosomal RNA". It matches the Rfam family "Bacterial small subunit ribosomal RNA", at positions 338 to 795 of the family's 1533-position model. The record is from RNAcentral.
CCUACGGGGGGCAGCAGUGGGGAAUAUUGCGCAAUGGGCGAAAGCCUGACGCAGCGACGCCGCGUGAGGGAUGAAGGUCUUCGGAUCGUAAACCUCUGUCAGCAGGGAAGAACGGUCACUGUGCUAAUCAGCAGUGAAUUGACGGUACCUGCAAAGGAAGCACCGGCUAACUCCGUGCCAGCAGCCGCGGUAAUACGGAGGGUGCGAGCGUUAAUCGGAAUUACUGGGCGUAAAGCGCUCGUAGGCGGUAUGUCAAGUCAAGGGUGAAAUCCCCGCGCUCAACGUGGGAACUGCCUUUGAAACUGGCAAACUGGAGUGUGUGAGAGGAUAGUGGAAUUCCAGGUGUAGGAGUGAAAGCCGUAGAGAUCUGGAGGAACAUCAGUGGCGAAGGCGACUAUCUGGCACAUAACUGACGCUGAGGAGCGAAAGCGUGGGUAGCAAACAGGAUUAGAUACCCUAGUAGUC